This 349-nucleotide ribosomal RNA is filed under the name uncultured bacterium. RNAcentral describes it as "bacterial SSU rRNA". It matches the Rfam family "Bacterial small subunit ribosomal RNA", at positions 917 to 1269 of the family's 1533-position model. The record is from RNAcentral.
GGGCCCGCACAAGCGGUGGAGCAUGUGGUUUAAUUCGAUGAUACGCGAGGAACCUUACCAGGGCUUAAAUGUAGGAUGCAUUAGCUAGAGAUAGCUAUUUCUUCGGACUUCUUACAAGGUGCUGCAUGGUUGUCGUCAGCUCGUGCCGUGAGGUGUCAGGUUAAGUCCUAUAACGAGCGCAACCCCUGUCGUUAGUUGCCAGCAUGUAAAGAUGGGGACUCUAACGAGACUGCCGGUGUAAACCGCGAGGAAGGUGGGGAUGACGUCAAAUCAUCACGGCCCUUACGUCCUGGCUACACACGUGCUACAAUGGUAUGGACAAAGGGUUGCAAUCCCGCGAGGGGGAGCU